RNAcentral lists this unclassified non-coding RNA (335 nucleotides) under soil metagenome. Its description in RNAcentral is "partial contains 5.8S ribosomal RNA, internal transcribed spacer 2, and large subunit ribosomal RNA". The stretch from base 1 to 120 matches the Rfam family "5.8S ribosomal RNA", at positions 35 to 154 of the family's 154-position model. The record is from RNAcentral.
GAUGAAGAACGUAGCGAAAUGCGAUAAGUAAUGUGAAUUGCAGAAUUCAGUGAAUCAUCGAAUCUUUGAACGCACAUUGCGCCCGCCAGUAUUCUGGCGGGCAUGCCUGUUCGAGCGUCAUUUCAACCAUCAAGCCCCCGGCUUGUGUUGGGGACCUGCGGCUGCCGCAGGCCCUGAAAAGCAGUGGCGGGCUCGCUGUCACACCGAGCGUAGUAGCAUACAUCUCGCUCUGGGCGUGCUGCGGGUUCCGGCCGUUAAACCACCUUCAUAACCCAAGGUUGACCUCGGAUCAGGUAGGAAGACCCGCUGAACUUAAGCAUAUCAAUAAGCGGGGA